GUUGCAGGGUAUAGACCCGAAACCCGGUGAUCUAGCCAUGGGCAGGUUGAAGGUUGGGUAACACUAACUGGAGGACCGAACCGACUAAUGUUGAAAAAUUAGCGGAUGACCUGUGGCUGGGGGUGAAAGGCCAAUCAAACCGGGAGAUAGCUGGUUCUCCCCGAAAGCUAUUUAGGUAGCGCCUCGUGAAUUCAUCUCCGGGGGUAGAGCACUGUUUCGGCUAGGGGGCCAUCCCGGCUUACCAACCCGAUGCAAACUGCGAAUACCGGAGAAUGUUAUCACGGGAGACACACGGCGGGUGCUAACGUCCGUCGUGAAGAGGGAAACAACCCAGACCGCCAGCUAAGGUCCCAAAGUCAUGGUUAAGUGGGAAACGAUGUGGGAAGGCCCAGACAGCCAGGAUGUUGGCUUAGAAGCAGCCAUCAUUUAAAGAAAGCGUAAUAGCUCACUGGUCGAGUCGGCCUGCGCGGAAGAUGUAACGGGGCUAAACCAUGCACCGAAGCUGCGGCAGCGACGCUGAUGCGUUGUUGGGUAGGGGAGCGUUCUGUAAGCCUGCGAAGGUGGCCUGUGAGGGUUGCUGGAGGUAUCAGAAGUGCGAAUGCUGACAUAAGUAACGAUAAAGCGGGUGAAAAGCCCGCUCGCCGGAAGACCAAGGGUUCCUGUCCAACGUUAAUCGGGGCAGGGUGAGUCGACCCCUAAGGCGAGGCCGAAAGGCGUAGUCGAUGGGAAACGGGUUAAUAUUCCCGUACUUGGUGUUACUGCGAAGGGGGGACGGAGAAGGCUAUGUUGGCCGGGCGACGGUUGUCCCGGUUUAAGCGUGUAGGUGUGUGUUCCAGGUAAAUCCGGUUCACUUUAACACUGAGGCGUGAUGACGAGGCACUACGGUGCUGAAGCAACAAAUGCCCUGCUUCCAGGAAAAGCCUCUAAGCAUCAGGUAACAUCAAAUCGUACCCCAAACCGACACAGGUGGUCAGGUAGAGAAUACCAAGGCGCUUGAGAGAACUCGGGUGAAGGAACUAGGCAAAAUGGUGCCGUAACUUCGGGAGAAGGCACGCUGACACGUAGGUGAAGUGAUUUACUCAUGGAGCUGAAGUCAGUCGAAGAUACCAGCUGGCUGCAACUGUUUAUUAAAAACACAGCACUGUGCAAACACGAAAGUGGACGUAUACGGUGUGACGCCUGCCCGGUGCCGGAAGGUUAAUUGAUGGGGUCAGCGCAAGCGAAGCUCCUGAUCGAAGCCCCGGUAAACGGCGGCCGUAACUAUAACGGUCCUAAGGUAGCGAAAUUCCUUGUCGGGUAAGUUCCGACCUGCACGAAUGGCGUAAUGAUGGCCAGGCUGUCUCCACCCGAGACUCAGUGAAAUUGAACUCGCUGUGAAGAUGCAGUGUACCCGCGGCAAGACGGAAAGACCCCGUGAACCUUUACUAUAGCUUGACACUGAACAUUGAGCCUUGAUGUGUAG
This 1462-nucleotide ribosomal RNA is filed under the name Salmonella enterica subsp. enterica serovar Derby. RNAcentral describes it as "partial 23S ribosomal RNA". It matches the Rfam family "Bacterial large subunit ribosomal RNA", at positions 699 to 2141 of the family's 2925-position model. Lineage: Bacteria; Pseudomonadati; Pseudomonadota; Gammaproteobacteria; Enterobacterales; Enterobacteriaceae. The record is from RNAcentral.